RNAcentral lists this ribosomal RNA (465 nucleotides) under uncultured bacterium. RNAcentral's name for it is "partial 16S ribosomal RNA". It matches the Rfam family "Bacterial small subunit ribosomal RNA", at positions 28 to 506 of the family's 1533-position model. The record is from RNAcentral.
GAUGAACGCUGGCGGCGUGCUUAACACAUGCAAGUCGAACGGAAAGGCUCCUGCUUGCAGGGGUACUCGAGUGGCGAACGGGUGAGUAACACGUGGGUGAUCUGCCCUGCACUUCGGGAUAAGCCUGGGAAACUGGGUCUAAUACCGGAUAGGACGAUGGUUUGGAUGCCAUUGUGGAAAGUUUUUUCGGUGUGGGAUGAGCUCGCGGCCUAUCAGCUUGUUGGUGGGGUAAUGGCCUACCAAGGCGUCGACGGGUAGCCGGCCUGAGAGGGUGUACGGCCACAUUGGGACUGAGAUACGGCCCAGACUCCUACGGGAGGCAGCAGUGGGGAAUAUUGCACAAUGGGCGCAAGCCUGAUGCAGCGACGCCGCGUGGGGGAUGACGGCCUUCGGGUUGUAAACUCCUUUCGCUAGGGACGACGCGCAAGUGACGGUACCUGGAGAAGAAGCACCGGCUAACUACGU